AACGUAGGUUCCGAGCGUUAUCCGGAUUUACUGGGCGUAAAGCGCGUUCAGGCGGUUUGGCAAGUCGGGCAUGAAAUCUCUCGGCUCAACCGGGAGAGGUUGUCCGAUACUGCUGGACUUGAGGGCAGUAGAGGGUGGUGGAAUUCCGGGUGUAGUGGUGAAAUGCGUAGAUAUCCGGAGGAACACCGGUGGCGAAGGCGGUUCUCUGGGCCUUACCUGACACUGAGGAGCGAAAGCGUGGGGAGCGAACAGG
RNAcentral lists this ribosomal RNA (253 nucleotides) under uncultured bacterium. RNAcentral describes it as "partial 16S ribosomal RNA". It matches the Rfam family "Bacterial small subunit ribosomal RNA", at positions 524 to 776 of the family's 1533-position model. The record is from RNAcentral.